RNAcentral lists this ribosomal RNA (514 nucleotides) under uncultured bacterium. RNAcentral describes it as "bacterial SSU rRNA". It matches the Rfam family "Bacterial small subunit ribosomal RNA", at positions 16 to 518 of the family's 1533-position model. The record is from RNAcentral.
AUUCUGGCUCAGGAUGAACGCUAGCUACAGGCUUAACACAUGCAAGUCGAGGGGCAGCGAGAGUGUAGCAAUACACUUGUCGGCGACCGGCGCACGGGUGAGUAACGCGUAUCCAACCUGGCCCUUAGUAGGGGAUAGCCCGGCGAAAGUCGGAUUAAUACCCUAUGUUUUCCCAUGAGAGCAUUUGAAAAGGGAACAAAGAUUUAUCGCUAGGGGAUGGGGGAUGCGUCCGAUUAGGCAGCAGGCGGGGUGACGGCCCACCUGGCCGACGAUCGGUAGGGGUUCUGAGAGGAAGGUCCCCCACACUGGUACUGAGACACGGACCAGACUCCUACGGGAGGCAGCAGUGAGGAAUAUUGGUCAAUGGGCGCGAGCCCUGAACCAGCCAAGUAGCGUGAGGGACGACGGCCCUACGGGUUGUAAACCUCUUUUGCCGGGGAAUAAAGUGCGGGACGCGUCCCGUUUUGUAUGUACCCGGAGAAUAAGGACCGACUAAUUCCGUGCCAGCCGCGGC